GAAGCUUCAAUUUGACUUUUAGGAACCAGAAGACAAAUUUCCAUGUAAAGUUUGAUUCAAAACAGUGUUGAAAUAGUAAGAAAUUAUUAGAUUAGUUUGUUUCCAGGUUCUGUCUUGCUUUCCUGCUGUUUCUCAGGAGCCCAAACAAACAUGAGGAAAAGAGAAUUAUUACAGGUAGUUUACCUUGCAGGGGUCUCAAAGGAAAAGAAUCAAUGAUAGU
This 220-nucleotide unclassified non-coding RNA is filed under the name Hevea brasiliensis (rubber tree). The record is from RNAcentral. Lineage: Eukaryota; Viridiplantae; Streptophyta; Magnoliopsida; Malpighiales; Euphorbiaceae.